This 293-nucleotide ribosomal RNA is filed under the name uncultured bacterium. RNAcentral's name for it is "partial 16S ribosomal RNA". It matches the Rfam family "Archaeal small subunit ribosomal RNA", at positions 455 to 747 of the family's 1478-position model. The record is from RNAcentral.
GUGCCAGCAGCCGCGGUAAUACCGGCAGCCCAAGUGAUGGCCGCUGUUAUUGGGCCUAAAGCGUCCGUAGCUGGCCGCACGAGUCCGUCGGGAAAUCCACCCGCUCAACGGGCGGCCGUCCGGCGGAACCUGUGUGGCUUGGGACCGGGAGGCCUGAGGGGUACGAUCGGGGUAGGAGUGAAAUCCUGUAAUCCCGCUCGGACCGCCGAUGGGGAAAGCACGUCGGGAAGACGGAUCCGACGGUGAGGGACGAAAGCUAGGGUCUCGAACCGGAUUAGAUACCCGGGUAGUCC